Molecule: ribosomal RNA, 207 nt
Filed under: uncultured bacterium
Lineage: Bacteria
Description: partial 16S ribosomal RNA
Rfam family: Bacterial small subunit ribosomal RNA
Source: RNAcentral
CGUGUAGGCGGGAAGAUAAGUCAGAUGUGAAAUUCCGAAGCUCAACUUCGGAGCUGCAUUUGAAACUAUUUUUCUUGAGGAUUGACGGAGAAAACGGAAUUCCACGUGUAGCGGUGAAAUGCGUAGAUAUGUGGAAGAACACCUGUGGCGAAAGCGGUUUUUCUAGUUUAUACCUGACGCUGAGGCGCGAGAGAAGGGAGCGAAACA